This 381-nucleotide unclassified non-coding RNA is filed under the name Hevea brasiliensis (rubber tree). Lineage: Eukaryota; Viridiplantae; Streptophyta; Magnoliopsida; Malpighiales; Euphorbiaceae. The record is from RNAcentral.
AAAAUAAAAUAAAAUAAAAACUAUUACUUUCAUCCAAUCCUAGAGCCUUCCUAGCUUUCAAGGAACCUUUAAUGCGCUAAGCAUUCUCAAAACCCAACCUAGAUAAUACACCUGAGCAGUCCUCUUAGCAUUGCCAAAAAACUUAAAUAGCCACAAAGCUACAUUGAAAAUUUGCCUCACAGCAUGGAGGGCAUUGUGGAAGAAGUACAGCCUAAUAAUCAGGCCUUAUUCACACUGAUCAUAAAUUUAAUAGGCCCUAAUUUUCACCUUGAUACAUGAAUAUUUCUAAGAAUUAGAAACAAGACUAACAAAGACAGCUCACGCUUUUCUCACCAAACCAUUAGUAUAUAAUUCAUGUAGUUCCCCACCAAUGAUUGAAAA